GUUGGGCAUGGCAAUGCAUGCCUGUAAUCUCAAAAACUUGGGAGGCUGAAGCAGGAGGAUUGUAAAUUCAAGGCCAGCCUCAGCCACUUAUCGAGACCCUCAGCAACUUAAUGAGAUCCUGUUUUAA
This 127-nucleotide small RNA is filed under the name Marmota monax (woodchuck). Lineage: Eukaryota; Metazoa; Chordata; Mammalia; Rodentia; Sciuridae. The record is from RNAcentral.